This 449-nucleotide ribosomal RNA is filed under the name uncultured bacterium. RNAcentral's name for it is "bacterial SSU rRNA". It matches the Rfam family "Bacterial small subunit ribosomal RNA", at positions 329 to 794 of the family's 1533-position model. The record is from RNAcentral.
UACCAGACUCCUACGGGAGGCAGCAGUGGGGAAUAUUGCACAAUGGGGGAAACCCUGAUGCAGCAACGCCGCGUGGGUGAAGGAGCGUUUCGGCGCGUAAAGCCCUGUCAGCGGGGAAGAAGAAAGACGGUACCCGACCAAGAAGCCCCGGCUAACUACGUGCCAGCAGCCGCGGUAAUACGUAGGGGGCGAGCGUUAUCCGGAAUUACUGGGUGUAAAGGGAGCGUAGACGGCGAGGUAAGCCUGAAGUGGAAGCCCGCGGCCCAACCGCGGAACUGCUUUGGGAACUGUUUUGCUGGAGUAUGGGAGGGGUAAGCGGAAUUCUCGGUGUAGCAGUGAAAUGCGUAGAUAUCGAGAGGAACACUCGUGGCGAAGGCGGGUUCCUGGACAUUAACUGACGCUGAGGCACGAAGGCCAGGGGAGCGAAAGGGAUUAGAUACCCCUGUACA